Molecule: ribosomal RNA, 292 nt
Filed under: uncultured bacterium
Lineage: Bacteria
Description: partial 16S ribosomal RNA
Rfam family: Bacterial small subunit ribosomal RNA
Source: RNAcentral
GUGCCAGCAGCCGCGGUAAGACAGAGGGUGCAAACGUUGCUCGGAAUUACUGGGCGUAAAGCGCGUGUAGGCGGGCCUUCAAGUCGGACGUGAAAUCCCUGAGCUCAACUCAGGAACUGCAUCCGAAACUGAAGGCCUGGAGUAGUGGAGAGGGAAGCAGAAUUCCUGGUGUAGAGGUGAAAUUCGUAGAUAUCAGGAGGAACACCGGUGGCGAAGGCGGCUUCCUGGACACUUACUGACGCUGAGACGCGAAAGCGUGGGGAGCAAACAGGAUUAGAAACCCCCGUAGUCC